UACGCGUGCGUGCUGUGAUGCACGUACACGUGCGUGCGUGUGCGUGCCGUGUGACGUACAAGUGCGCACCGGGUGUGCCACGUACAUCGGCUAACUACGAACUCGUUAUAAACGAAAACAAUGCCAGCGUAUGA
Priapulus caudatus is the source of this 134-nucleotide long non-coding RNA. RefSeq lists it as uncharacterized. NCBI's taxonomy places the organism in Eukaryota, Metazoa, Priapulida, Priapulimorpha, Priapulimorphida, Priapulidae. The record is from RefSeq and is a predicted model, not a curated record. The transcript is spliced from 2 exons.